UGGGGAGGGGAUAGCUCCAAGUUCAGCCCCAAAAGCCUUCAGCCAAAGCUCCGAGAAUCCUUCGGUUUCCUCUUCUUCCUUGUAUUCGAUUUUCUUCAAAGAGGGGAAACUCGUCGCCCAUGUCAAGGUUGAGGUUCUCGAAGCGGUUAUGGAAACUGGUGGAGCGGAGUUCGAGGAAUCACGAGCUUUUAUAUCGACCGACUAUUUUCAAAGAUUAUAUUAGUCACUUUCUUUUAAGUGUUUUAACUUGAGAAGUUUAUAGUUGUAAUUAUAAUUUACUCUAUUUAGGAAUCUAGUCUAUUAAACCGGGGUGUAUGUAAAAUAAAGUUAUUUUGUGUUCCGCUGUAUUACAAGUAUUGCUUUAAAACCCCGUCUAUGUUGAAGUAGCACUCUUUAUGAAAA
This is a non-coding RNA of Erythranthe guttata (spotted monkey flower), 402 nucleotides long. Lineage: Eukaryota; Viridiplantae; Streptophyta; Magnoliopsida; Lamiales; Phrymaceae. The record is from RefSeq and is a predicted model, not a curated record.